CGCUUGGUUGAAGCCAGUGGCGCGAAGCUACCGUGCGCUGGAUUAUGACUGAACGCCUCUAAGUCAGAAUCCGGGCCAGAAGCGACGCGUUGUCCGCCGCUCGUUUGCCGACCAGCAGUAGGGGCCCUCCGGCCCCCAAAGGCACGUGUCGUUGGCUAAGCCCUCGCGGCGGACGAGCCGCGCGGGCCGCCUUGAAUUACAAUUUCCACCGGGCGGCGGACUGAAUCCUUUGCAGACGACUUAAAUACGCGACGGGGUAUUGUAAGUGGCAGAGUGGCCUUGCUGCCACGAUCCACUGAGAUUCAGCCCUUCGUCGCUCCGAUUCGU
This 327-nucleotide non-coding RNA is filed under the name Ricinus communis (castor bean). RNAcentral's name for it is "Eukaryotic large subunit ribosomal RNA". It matches the Rfam family "Eukaryotic large subunit ribosomal RNA", at positions 3070 to 3401 of the family's 3401-position model. The record is from Rfam by way of RNAcentral. Lineage: Eukaryota; Viridiplantae; Streptophyta; Magnoliopsida; Malpighiales; Euphorbiaceae.